GCAUACACAUUUAAAAUAAUUACGUAAAAAAGUAUUUAAUGUUAAAAAUGUUCCAAGCCAUAUUUCUUCAAGAUAAUACGAUAAAAAAUAAAUAAGUUAAACAACUACGGCUCCUGCUUCCGAACGACUCACCGGCAAAUCGGGACAACUCUUCCAGUUAUCCGUUAA
Glossina fuscipes is the source of this 168-nucleotide long non-coding RNA. RefSeq lists it as uncharacterized. The transcript is spliced from 2 exons. Lineage: Eukaryota; Metazoa; Arthropoda; Insecta; Diptera; Glossinidae. The record is from RefSeq and is a predicted model, not a curated record.